UCAGCCACUAAAUGGUGCUGGGACCUCGCAGUUUGGUGGGAAGGAGGAAGCUUACUCAAGCAAGGAAUAUGAGACAGGCAAAAACCCACGCAUAAGCCAAAAGCCCCUCCAAAGCGAGGUGUUGUUCCAGGCUGACAAGUGUCCAGCAGGGUGGACUUCAGACUCCCUGUUAGGAACUGAAUUGUGUCCCCCAAAAAGAGAAAGUCACCCCAGGGUAUGACCUAAUUCAGGAAAGGUCAUUGCAGAUGCAUUUAAUUAAAUGAAGAUGAGCUCAUGCUGGAGUAGGGUGGACUCUGAACCCAGUGGGACAAGCGUCCUUAUUAAGAAGAGGGAAAUCUGGACACACACAGAGCAGAGACCGCCGUGUGAAGAUGGAGGCAGAGAUCGGAGAGAUGCUGCCACACGCCACAAAUGCCUGGGGCUCCCAGAAACUACACGGAGCCUCCCCCAGCGGCUUCAGCAGGAGCAUGGCUCGGCCAACACUUUGAUCUUGGUCUUCCAGCCUCCAGAACGUUUUCCUAAAAUUCCCUUUUCCACUGGUGUGUGGUGCAAGAUGAGGCACAUUUUCCAUGGAUGGUGAACAGAGGGAGGAGCCUUUUGAUCACAACCAGGUCACCCCACUUCUAAGCCACUGUGCCUCCAGCCCCACAAGACUAAGGAGAGAGAGCGCAGCGUGGUGGAGAGUGAGCUGUGCUGGGACCAUUGUUUCCGUAACCUCGUUUUCUGUGUCCAGCUGACACACCUUCAAAGUGGCAUCAGGUCCUAAACUGUAGCUUGCAAUGUGCCUGUUUCCAGAAACCAAGGUGAAAGUGCUUUUAGACAGUGUUCCCAUGCAAGAGUCCCUUCCCAGCUUUUUUCUGGAAAUGCAUGUUUCUCUGAACUCUGAGUCCCAAGAAAAAUCACUUGAGACACCAAGAAAAUGGGGGAAGUGCUAAAAUUGUGUGGGAAUUCAAGCUUAACAAUAAACAUCAAGACAUUUUUGAUAAAAAUGAAUCCACUGACAUCGGGGAGGAGCAAGAGAACAGCACGCUGACACUGGGUCAGAGGCUAAGACCGACAUUUCUGGGAACCACUCCCGGAAGGGCACAGAGGAGACGCUUUCAGCCUCUCAUCAGCCAGCCUGGCCUGUAGCUGCUGCACGUUAUGAGUGUGUUCCUGGCAUGACUGCUUCUAACAGUGAGUUUUCUG
This 1188-nucleotide long non-coding RNA is filed under the name Homo sapiens (human). RNAcentral's name for it is "non-protein coding lnc-GGCT-1:40". The record is from RNAcentral. Lineage: Eukaryota; Metazoa; Chordata; Mammalia; Primates; Hominidae.